This 433-nucleotide ribosomal RNA is filed under the name uncultured bacterium. RNAcentral describes it as "partial 16S ribosomal RNA". It matches the Rfam family "Bacterial small subunit ribosomal RNA", at positions 29 to 507 of the family's 1533-position model. The record is from RNAcentral.
AACGAACGCUGGCGGCAUGCCUAACACAUGCAAGUCGAACGAGACCUUCGGGUCUAGUGGCGCACGGGUGCGUAACGCGUGGGAACCUGCCCUUAGGUUCGGAAUAACUCCCCGAAAGGGGUGCUAAUACCGGAUAAUGUCUUCGGACCAAAGAUUUAUCGCCUUUGGAUGGGCCCGCGUUGGUUUAGCUAGUUGGUAGGGUAAAAGCCUACCAAGGCGACGAUCCAUAGCUGGUCUGAGAGGAUGAUCAGCCACACUGGGACUGAGACACGGCCCAGACUCCUACGGGAGGCAGCAGUGGGGAAUAUUGGACUAUGGGCGAAGGCAUGAUCCAGCAAUGCCGCGUGAGUGAUGAAGGCCUGAGGGUUGUAAAGCUCUCUUACCCGGGAUGAUAAUGACAGUACCGGGAGAAUAAGCACCGGCUAACUCCGUG